AAAUUGAAGAGUUUGAUCAUGGCUCAGAUUGAACGCUGGCGGCAGGCCUAACACAUGCAAGUCGAACGGUAACAGGAAGCAGCUUGCUGCUUCGCUGACGAGUGGCGGACGGGUGAGUAAUGUCUGGGAAACUGCCUGAUGGAGGGGGAUAACUACUGGAAACGGUAGCUAAUACCGCAUAACGUCGCAAGACCAAAGAGGGGGACCUUCGGGCCUCUUGCCAUCGGAUGUGCCCAGAUGGGAUUAGCUAGUAGGUGGGGUAACGGCUCACCUAGGCGACGAUCCCUAGCUGGUCUGAGAGGAUGACCAGCCACACUGGAACUGAGACACGGUCCAGACUCCUACGGGAGGCAGCAGUGGGGAAUAUUGCACAAUGGGCGCAAGCCUGAUGCAGCCAUGCCGCGUGUAUGAAGAAGG
RNAcentral lists this ribosomal RNA (417 nucleotides) under Escherichia coli. RNAcentral's name for it is "bacterial SSU rRNA". It matches the Rfam family "Bacterial small subunit ribosomal RNA", at positions 1 to 414 of the family's 1533-position model. The record is from RNAcentral. Lineage: Bacteria; Pseudomonadati; Pseudomonadota; Gammaproteobacteria; Enterobacterales; Enterobacteriaceae.